UACGAAGGGGGCGAGCGUUGUUCGGAAUUACUGGGCGUAAAGGGCGCGUAGGCGGCGAACCAAGUCAGAUGUGAAAGUCCUGGGCUUAACCUGGGGACUGCAUUUGAUACUGGUUUGCUUGAAUUCGGGAGAGGAUAGCGGAAUUCCCAGUGUAGAGGUGAAAUUCGUAGAUAUUGGGAAGAACACCGGUGGCGAAGGCGGCUAUCUGGACCGACAUUGACGCUGAGGCGCGAAAGCGUGGGGAGCAAACAGG
This 253-nucleotide ribosomal RNA is filed under the name uncultured bacterium. RNAcentral describes it as "partial 16S ribosomal RNA". It matches the Rfam family "Bacterial small subunit ribosomal RNA", at positions 524 to 776 of the family's 1533-position model. RNAcentral also lists the same sequence under 1 other name. The record is from RNAcentral.